AAGAGACAGCAGCAGCCGCGGUAAUACAGAGGCUGCGAGCGUUAAUCGGAUUUACUGGGCGUAAAGCGUGCGUAGGCGGCUUUUUAAGUCGGAUGUGAAAUCCCUGAGCUUAACUUAGGAAUUGCAUUCGAUACUGGGAAGCUAGAGUAUGGGAGAGGAUGGUAGAAUUCCAGGUGUAGCGGUGAAAUGCGUAGAGAUCUGGAGGAAUACCGAUGGCGAAGGCAGCCAUCUGGCCUAAUACUGACGCUGAGGUACGAAAGCAUGGGGAGCAAACAGGAUUAGAUACCCCAGUAGUCCCUGUCUCUUAUAC
RNAcentral lists this ribosomal RNA (310 nucleotides) under uncultured bacterium. RNAcentral describes it as "partial 16S ribosomal RNA". It matches the Rfam family "Bacterial small subunit ribosomal RNA", at positions 503 to 807 of the family's 1533-position model. The record is from RNAcentral.